ACCGUAAAGUGGAGGAAGUGGGGAUGACGUCAAGUCAGCAUGGCCCUUACGUCCGGGGCUACACACGUGCUACAAUGGCCGGUACAAAGGUUGCGAAGCCGUGAGGUGGAGCGAAUACUCAAAAAAGCCGGCCUCAGUUCGGAUUGGAGGCUGCAACUCGCCUCCAUGAAGUCGGAAUCGCUAGUAACCGCAGAUCAGCUACGUUGCGGUGAAUACGUUCCCGGGCCUU
This 229-nucleotide ribosomal RNA is filed under the name uncultured cyanobacterium. RNAcentral describes it as "partial 16S ribosomal RNA". It matches the Rfam family "Bacterial small subunit ribosomal RNA", at positions 1154 to 1382 of the family's 1533-position model. The record is from RNAcentral. Lineage: Bacteria; Bacillati; Cyanobacteriota.